This is an RNA transcript of Rhipicephalus sanguineus (brown dog tick), 633 nucleotides long. RefSeq lists it as uncharacterized. NCBI's taxonomy places the organism in Eukaryota, Metazoa, Arthropoda, Arachnida, Ixodida, Ixodidae. The transcript has 5 exons. The record is from RefSeq and is a predicted model, not a curated record.
GUUCUUUGGAUACUGGUCGCACGUGCACGAUGUGCAAGAUUCUUUAACCAAAACGUAUCCAAUUUCUGAAGCCCUGGUAAUAUCUAGAUAACCUUGGAUACCGACUUUACGCACGCACACGCAGUGUUCACUUUUGCAGCCGCGGAAAAUUUUUGGUUGCGUUACGGUUCGAUGGCUAGUUUGAUGUGUUUGAUUACUGCGACACAGUCAGCUGUGACUUUCCUAUUACUGAUGCAAGCUGAAUGUUUCCCACACGACGCCGAUGUAUGGUGCCCAGUGAUGCACAGCGGACGCAAGUGCACAUUUUUCGGACACAUGAUACCCGGUGGACAGAGCCGUGCCUUGAAAAAGCCGUGUGUCCUAGUUUCUUGUACAGAGGAUGCGGCGGCACUUAUUGUGUCAGGGUGCUCAACCCGGGGUAGACCAAGCGAAACAAGACCUAGAGGAUGUGGUGGUGUUGCAGAUGCUUGGCCAAGAUGUUGUGACAAUUGCCGCCGGCUUAGGACUAAAGGAAAGCUGGGAAAAGACAAAGCAGAAUAAUGUGCCGUUGCGUUUAUACAUUGCGGCGUUAUCGAUCCUCUUUUGCAAAAAUAAAGCCUCUGCAUCAUGACCCUGAACUAACUCGCAACAAAU